GGAGCUUGCUCCCUGAGAUUAGCGGCGGACGGGUGAGUAACACGUGGGUAACCUGCCUGUAAGAUUGGGAUAACUCCGGGAAACCGGAGCUAAUACCGGAUAACAUUUUGAACCGCAUGGUUCAAAAUUGAAAGAUGGUUUCGGCUAUCACUUACAGAUGGACCCGCGGCGCAUUAACUAAUUGGUGAGGUAACGGCUCACCAAGGGAACGAUGCGUAACCGAACUGAAAGGGUGAUCGGCCACACUGGGACUGAAACACGGCCCAAACUCCUACGGGAGGCAGCAGUAAGGAAUCUUCCGCAAUGGACGAAAGUCUGACGGAACAACCCCCCGUGAACGAUGAAGGCCUUCCGGUCCUAAAGUUCUGUUGUUAGGGAAAAACAAGUACCAAAAUAACUGCUGGUACCUUGACGGUACCUAACCAGAAAGCCACGGCUAACUACCUGCCAGCAGCCGCGGUAAUACCUAAGUGGCAAGCGUUGUCCGGAAUUAUUGGGCGUAAAGCGUACGCAGGCGGUUUCUUAAGUCUGAUGUGAAAGCCCACGGCUCAACCGUGGAAGGUCAUUGGAAACUGGGGAACUUGAGUACAGAAGAAGAGA
This 600-nucleotide ribosomal RNA is filed under the name Bacillus sp. 212(2013). RNAcentral's name for it is "bacterial SSU rRNA". It matches the Rfam family "Bacterial small subunit ribosomal RNA", at positions 75 to 660 of the family's 1533-position model. The record is from RNAcentral. Lineage: Bacteria; Bacillati; Bacillota; Bacilli; Caryophanales; Bacillaceae.